Molecule: microRNA precursor, 84 nt
Organism: Chlorocebus sabaeus (green monkey)
Lineage: Eukaryota; Metazoa; Chordata; Mammalia; Primates; Cercopithecidae
Rfam family: mir-548 microRNA precursor family
Source: Rfam
UAUUGGGUUGGUGCAAAAGUAAUUGGGGUCUUUGUCAUUACUUUUAAUGGCAAAGACCCCAGUUACUUUUGCACCAACCUAAUA